GAUGAACGCUGGCGGCGUGCCUAAUACAUGCAAGUCGAGCGAAUGGACGAUAAGCUUGCUUCUCUGAUGUUAGCGGCGGACGGGUGAGUAACACGUGGAUAACCUACCUAUAAGACUGGGAUAACUUCGGGAAACCGGAGCUAAUACCGGAUAAUAUUUUGAACCGCAUGGUUCAAAAGUGAAAGACGGUCUUGCUGUCACUUAUAGAUGGAUCCGCGCUGCAUUAGCUAGUUGGUAAGGUAACGGCUUACCAAGGCAACGAUGCAUAGCCGACCUGAGAGGGUGAUCGGCCACACUGGAACUGAGACACGGUCCAGACUCCUACGGGAGGCAGCAGUAGGGAAUCUUCCGCAAUGGGCGAAAGCCUGACGGAGCAACGCCGCGUGAGUGAUGAAGGUCUUCGGAUCGUAAAACUCUGUUAUUAGGGAAGAACAUAUGUGUAAGUAAAUGUGCACAUAUUGACGGUAACUAAUCAGAAAGCCACGGCUAACUACGUG
This 497-nucleotide ribosomal RNA is filed under the name uncultured bacterium. Its description in RNAcentral is "partial 16S ribosomal RNA". It matches the Rfam family "Bacterial small subunit ribosomal RNA", at positions 28 to 507 of the family's 1533-position model. The record is from RNAcentral.